RNA transcript from Nycticebus coucang (slow loris), 4165 nucleotides. It is a transcript of the gene named inhibitor of Bruton tyrosine kinase-like, with no coding region annotated. NCBI's taxonomy places the organism in Eukaryota, Metazoa, Chordata, Mammalia, Primates, Lorisidae. The record is from RefSeq and is a predicted model, not a curated record. The transcript has a single exon.
AUAGCACUUUUGUGUCCUGGCUUUUUAUUUCUAAGAUUAGUCUUAACUGACAAUUCUGAGGAAGUAAGCAGUAGAAAGAGAGUUUGGAUAAAUUCUUCCAUCCCUGACUGCACCUCAAAGUGUCACUCCCUGAAACAUGCGUUGGAUGUCCUUUCUGUGGUGACAAAGGGAAGUGAGAAGCAGAUCAAGGCCUUCCUCUGCAGCCACUGUUGCAAUGCCGCCACCGUCAGGGAUGCCUUCGGCAGGAACGCCCUGCACCUGGUCUCCUCCUGUGGGAAGAGGGGCAUGCUGGACUGGCUCAUCGAGAGAGGGGCGGACCUGCUGGUCAAGGACAAGGAGUCAGGGUGGAUGGCACUACACAGAGGCGUUUUCUAUGGACACAUUGAUUGCGUUUGGUCUCUGUUAAAGCAUGGCGUCAGUCUGUAUAUUCAAGAUGAAGAAGGCUUGUCCGCUUUGGAUCUUAUAAUGAAGGAUAGACCAACUCAUGUGGUAUUCAGGAGUACUGAUCCUACAGAUGUCUACACUUGGAGUGAUAAUACAAAUUUUACCCUGGGUCAUGGAAGCCAGAAUAGCAAACACCAUCCAGAAUUGGUGGAUCUUUUCUCCAGGAGUGGAGUUUAUAUCAAACAGGUGGUGCUUUGUAAAUUUCACUCAGUGUUUCUGUCUCAGAAAGGGCAAGUUUAUACAUGUGGUCACCGUCCUGGAGGUUAAUUAGGUCAUGGAGAUGAGCAGACUUGCUUAUUUGCUUUGUAGAUCCCCAGGCUGGUGGAAGGACUGAGUGGCCAUAACUGUUCCCAAGUGGCAGCUGCCGAGGACCACACUGUUGUACUAACUGAAGACAGAUGUGUUUAUACAUUUGGUCUGAACGUUUUUCAUCAAUUGGGAAUUAUUCCUCCACCUUCCAGCUGUAAUGUACCUAGACAGAUGCAGGGAAAAUACCUAAAAGGAAGAACAAUCAUUGGGGUUGCAGCAGGCAAGUUUCCCACAGUUCUUUGGACUAGAGACACUGUUUACACUCUGGGACUAAAUAGUGGACAACCAGGCUACUUACUAGAUCCUAAUGGAGAGAAGUGUGUCACUGCCCCACACCAAGUCUCUGCCCUUCAACACAAAGACGUCACUCUGUCCUUGGUCGCUGCCAGCAACAGCGCCACCAUCUGUGUCACCACAAGGGGUGAUGUUUACUUGCUCGCAGACUAUCAGUGCAAAAAGAUGGCUUCUAAACAAUUGAACUUGAAAAAGGUUCUUGUGUCUGGUGGUUGUAUAGAAUACAAAGUUGAUCCUAAACAUUUGAAAGAAAAUGGGGAUCAAAAAAUUUGCAUUCUUGCAAUGGAUGGCGCUGGAAGGGUUUUUUGCUGGAGAUCAGCCAGCAGUUCUCUGAAGCAGUGUCGAUGGGCCUUUCCACGCCAGGUCUUCAUUUCUGAUAUUGCCUUAAAUAGAAAUGAGAUUCUAUUUGUCACACAGGAUGGAGAAGGAUUUAGAGGGAAAUGGUCUGAAGAAAAAAGGAGGAGUUCUGAAAAAAAGAUAUUUUCUCAAACCUUCAUAAUUACUCAUUGGAUGCGUCUUAUAUCUCUGAUGUGAAUAGUGUGGAAACUUGCUUUUGCCCAUAGAGCCAUCAGCAUCAGCAUCAGCACAGACCUGAGUGGAUGCAACUUUGCCAUCCUACAGUCAGAUCCUAAAACAAUCCUGUAUGAGAUUCCCUCUGUGUCUUCAUCAUCCUUCUUUGAAGAGUUUGGCAAACUGUUGAGGGAAACCGAUGAAAUGGACAGUAUCCACGAUGUGACAUUUUGAGUUGGGAAUAGAAUCUUCCCUGCACAUAAAUACAUUUUGGCAGUGCGUUCUGACUUCUUUCAGAAGUUGUUUCUCUCAGAUGAUACUAGUUUAGAAUUUACAGAUGUUUACCAGAAAGAUGAAGAUUCUGCAGGGUGCCAUCUCUUGUGGUGGAGAAGGUUCAUCCUGACUUGUUUGAAUACCCUCUGCAGUUUAUAUACACAGAUACUUGUGACUUCUUAACUCAUGGCUUCAAACCAAGAAUACCCUCAAACAAAAAAAAAAAAAAAAAAAACAGAAGAAUAUCAAAGCGCUCUGAAUUCUCAUUUGAAUAAAGUGAAUUGCUGUGAGGAUGAUAAUCAGAAGUCAACAUUUGAAGUUUAUAAGAGUAACCAAGCUCAUACAAUUGGUGAAAAGCAGAAAAGUAAACCUAAAUCUUAUGAAAAGUGGUGGGGAAGAUGAUCCUGUAAGAAUGCUGCAAAAUGUUGCAAAGAAAUUUGUCUUCGGUACUUUGGGCAGUAGGUUGGAUGGAAUCAGAUUUGAAAAUGAAAAGAUUAAUGUUAUUGCCAAGAAAACUGGUAAUAAACUGAAGCUAAACCGGAAAAAAUGCUCAUUUCUGUGUGAUGUGACCAUGAAGUCAGUGGAUGGAAAGGAAUUCCCCUGUCACAAAUGUGUUCUCUGUGCCAGACUCCAUUAUUUUCAUAGAAUGCUGAGUAGCUCCUGGAUUGAGGCUUCCAGUUGUGCAGCUCUGGAAAUGCCGAUACAUUCUGAUAUCCUGCAAGUGACUUUGGACUACCUCUACACUGAUGAAGCUGUAGGGGUCAAAGAAUCUCAAAAUGUGUAUUUUAUUUGUAGUGUUCUUGUGGUGACUGAUCAGCUUCUCAUAAUUCGAUUGAAAGAGAUUUGUGAAGUAGCAUUAAUUGAAAGACUAACCCUUAAGAAUGCUGCUAUGCUCCUGGAAUUUGCAGUAAUGUAUAACGCUGAACAAUUGAAAUUAUCUUGUUUACAGUUCAUUGGACUGAACAUGGCAGCUUUACUUGAAGCAAGGUCUCUUGAUGUUUUAAGUGAUGGUGUAUUGAAGGAUCUUUCUAUGUUCUACUGAAAAAUGAUUCCAGCAAUGGAUAGAAGAUUCAUUACACCUUAUCAAGAUGAACCAGGUAUUAGCUAUUUGGAAGUAGAAAAUGGAGACAUCUUUUUAAAAGAAGAAAUAAAUAUAGAACAAAAUAUUUGGAAACUGUUUUCAAAAAGGCAAAAAUGAAAGCUAAAAAGAAGCCACAUAAAUGUUCAGAUAGUUCCGGAGGCUAUAAUCUUUCUGAUGUUUUUCGGAGUCCACCAUCUUCAGAGCUAUUGACGUCAGACUCGGAAGGGAGCUGUGCAGGCCUGGGCAGUCCCCAAGACCUGCAGUCCCCCGAUUUCACGGCAGCGUUUUCUGCAGAGAAGAUCCAGGGGAGAGUUAAAACAUUUGUUAAUGGUACACCUCCCACAGAAUCUAAGGAAGAUUUAAAACCCUGGGAAAAGUCACCAGUGCUUAAAAUCUCUGCUCCACAGCCCAUUCCCAGUAACAGAGUCGACAGCACCAGCUCUACCAGUUGGGUUGCUGGCUCUUUCAGUCCUGUCAGCCCCCACAUUGUGGAUCUCAGAAUCAUCAUGGAGAUAGGAGAAAGAAAGCAGACAGAAGUGGGGAGCCACACCAAAGCCAAACUCAGGCACAAUGAUUUUGCACAGAGUUAAACUUUCUCAGAAGCAACGGAAAACGAUUGCAUUGACUACCAAAGAAAAUUCAGGAAUGAAUAGCAUGGAAACAGUUUUAACCACUCCUUCAAAAGCCCCCAGACCAGGGAACCUAUGGUCACCAUCUCCACACUCAGUGUCAUCCAAGUCAUUCCAGGAUUUCCUUCUAGAAGAAAAAAAGUCUGUCACUGGUCAUAGUUCAGGUGAUCAUGUCAAAAAAGUUUGUUUUAAAGGAGUUGAAAAUUCUCAGACUCCAAAAGUUGUAAGAUGCUCUGCCCACGGCACCCCAGGACCAGAAGGCAGCCGCAUUUCGGACUCACCACUUCUAGACAGUCCCGAUCCCUGGCUGUGUUCCUCAGUGACGGCCCCCUCCGUGGCAGCCCCAGUCACAUUUGCCUCGAUUGUGGAAGAGGAGCCACAGCAGAGGAGGCAGCUCUGAUCAGAAGUCGGGAAAAGCCUCUGGCUCAGAUUGAGGAACAUGCAAUACAAGAUUUAUUGGCUUUCUAUGAAGCAUUUGGCAACCCUGAUGAGUUUGUCAUUGUUGAAAGGACACCGCAGGGCCCACUGGCAGUGCCUAUGUGGAAUAAGCGUGGAUGCUAGCUCACUGUGAGGCCAAGACACAUUCUCCACAGGUACCAUUACUGCAGUGUAAAGAAUCAGCUGU